This 270-nucleotide long non-coding RNA is filed under the name Gossypium barbadense (sea-island cotton). Its description in RNAcentral is "long non-coding RNA (GBAR_LNC017130)". Lineage: Eukaryota; Viridiplantae; Streptophyta; Magnoliopsida; Malvales; Malvaceae. The record is from RNAcentral.
GGUGUUGCAAUAGUACGAAGAUAAGGUGUGGGUCCUAACUUGUUAACUUGAAUGCUUUAAUAAUAUUUUUAAUGUCAUAAAUGUUGAUUAAGCUUGUUGUUUGGGCUUAGUUAAAUUUUUAAGUAAAUGAUUUUAAAGGGGUUGAAUCAUGUACGUUAUGAGUCCUAACUAAAUGGAAUGUUCGUAAAGUUGUUUGAUUGACUGAAUGGUUGUUUGAUUGGUACUGAUAUGAUUGGUUUGUUAACAUUGUAUGUUGGUUGUGUGUAUAGA